Molecule: ribosomal RNA, 800 nt
Filed under: uncultured bacterium
Lineage: Bacteria
Description: bacterial SSU rRNA
Rfam family: Bacterial small subunit ribosomal RNA
Source: RNAcentral
AGAGUUUGAUCAUGGCUCAGGAUGAACGCUGGCGGCAUGCCUAAGACAUGCAAGUCGAACGAAGUGACCUUUUGAAAUUGGAGUGCUUGCACAAAGAUGGAUAGAGAUUUUCACUUAGUGGCGGACGGGUGAGUAACACGUAGGUGACCUACCUUUAAGACUGGGAUAACUAUUAGAAAUGAUAGCUAAUACCGGAUUAUAUGCAGUUUCGUUUCUGUAUUAAAAGGAGCCUUUAAAGCUUCGCUUUUAGAUGGGCCUGCGGCGUAUUAGCUUGUUGGUGGGGUAAUGGCCUACCAAGGCAACGAUGCGUAGCCGAACUGAGAGGUUGAUCGGCCACAUUGGGACUGAGACACGGCCCAAACUCCUACGGGAGACAGCAGUUAGGAAUAUUCGUCAAUGGGGGAAACCCUGAACGAGCAAUGCCGCGUGAACGAUGAAGGCCCUAUGGGUUGUAAAGUUCUGUUGUAUGGGAAGAACGGCUAGGAUAGGAAAUGAUCUUAGUGUGACGGUACCAUACCAGAAAGCUCCGGCUAACUACGUGCCAGCAGCCGCGGUAAUACGUAGGGAGCGAGCGUUAUCCGGAUUUAUUGGGCGUAAAGGGUGCGUAGGCGGUUUGUUAAGUAUGAGAUUCAAGCCCGAGGCUCAACCUCGGUUCGUUUCAUAAACUGGCAGACUUGAGUAUGGCAGAGGUAAACGGAAUUUCUAGUGUAGCGGUAGAAUGCGUAGAUAUUAGAAGGAACACCAGUGGCGAAAGCGGUUUACUGGGCCAUAACUGACGCUGAGGCACGAAAGCGUGGGGA